CCUGUGGUUUUUCCUAAAAGGGUUUCCACGUAAAAAUCUGUGUGCUUUUUAUUUUUUAUUUCUAUUUUCUUUGCGAUAUAUUGUCAUUAUCGACAUUCUAUUUUUACAAAUUGGUAUCAGAGCUUCCGAGUUGUUCAUCUUAAUCACAGUAAUGUCGUCUUUGAAGUAUGAAAUUCUGCUGUUGGAUCGCAACACCAAAUUCGCG
RNAcentral lists this long non-coding RNA (205 nucleotides) under Gossypium raimondii (Peruvian cotton). RNAcentral's name for it is "long non-coding RNA (GRAI_LNC009631)". The record is from RNAcentral. Lineage: Eukaryota; Viridiplantae; Streptophyta; Magnoliopsida; Malvales; Malvaceae.